RNAcentral lists this unclassified non-coding RNA (379 nucleotides) under uncultured Gammaproteobacteria bacterium. RNAcentral describes it as "contains 16S-23S intergenic spacer region". Lineage: Bacteria; Pseudomonadati; Pseudomonadota; Gammaproteobacteria. The record is from RNAcentral.
UCCGGUUUGUCACCGGCAGUCUCAUUAAAGUGCCCAACUAAAUGAUGGCAAUUAAUGACAAGGGUUGCGCUCGUUGCGGGACUUAACCCAACAUCUCACGACACGAGCUGACGACAGCCAUGCAGCACCUGUGUUCAGGCUCUCUUUCGAGCACUCCCAAAUCUCUCCGGGAUUCCUGACAUGUCAAGGGUAGGUAAGGUUUUUCGCGUUGCAUCGAAUUAAUCCACAUCAUCCACCGCUUGUGCGGGUCCCCGUCAAUUCCUUUGAGUUUUAGCCUUGCGGCCGUACUCCCCAGGCGGUCAACUUCACGCGUUAGCUACGGCACUAAAAGGUUUAACCCUUCCAACACCUAGUUGACAUCGUUUAGGGCGUGGACUAC